RNAcentral lists this ribosomal RNA (236 nucleotides) under uncultured Actinomycetales bacterium. RNAcentral's name for it is "partial 16S ribosomal RNA". It matches the Rfam family "Bacterial small subunit ribosomal RNA", at positions 96 to 334 of the family's 1533-position model. Lineage: Bacteria; Bacillati; Actinomycetota; Actinomycetes; Actinomycetales. The record is from RNAcentral.
UGGCGAACGGGUGAGUAACACGUGGGUAAUCUGCCCUGCACUCUGGGAUAGGCCUGGGAAACUGGGUCUAAUACUGGAUAUGACCUUUCUCCUUAUGGGGUUUGGUGGAAAGUUUUUCGGUGUAGGAUGAGCCCGCGGCCUAUCAGCUUGUUGGUGGGGUGAUGGCCUACCAAGGCGACGACGGGUAGCCGGCCUGAGAGGGUGAUCGGCCACAUUGGGACUGAGAUACGGCCCAG